GAUAAACGCUAGCGGCAGGCCUAACACAUGCAAGUCGAGGGGCAGCAUAGAAGAACUUUCGGGUACUUUUGAUGGCGACCGGCGCACGGGUGCGUAACGCGUAUGCAACCUACCUUUAACAGGGGGAUAAUUCGGAGAAAUCUGGUCUAAUACCCCAUAAUAUUUGAUAAGGCAUCUUAUUAAGUUGAAAACUCCGGUGGUUAAAGAUGGGCAUGCGUUGUAUUAGUUAGUUGGUAAGGUAACGGCUUACCAAGACAACGAUACAUAGGGGGACUGAGAGGUUAGCCCCCCACACUGGUACUGAGACACGGACCAGACUCCUACGGGAGGCAGCAGUGAGGAAUAUUGGUCAAUGGACGCAAGUCUGAACCAGCCAUGCCGCGUGCAGGAAGACGGCUCUAUGAGUUGUAAACUGCUUUUGUACGAGGGUAAACACAGGUACGUGUACCUGUCUGAAAGUAUCGUACGAAUAAGGAUCGGCUAACUCCGUGCCAGCCGCCGCCGUAACAC
Molecule: ribosomal RNA, 510 nt
Filed under: uncultured bacterium
Lineage: Bacteria
Description: bacterial SSU rRNA
Rfam family: Bacterial small subunit ribosomal RNA
Source: RNAcentral